AUGCACGCAGCACGCGUACAAAUUUACAUUUUACACCCACCCUCGCAUAUAUACCUCUCGCACGCUCACGUUUCCCACGACGACGGGUACCAUGCACAGGACGACGAUGCUCGGAUCGGAUCGGAUGGAUUUCGCCUAGUGGAACUUGAGGCUGGUGAGGAUGUUGUUGUUGACGGGGUCGGAGAGGUGGUCGAGGAGGUUCUGGAAGGGUCCGACGCCGGUGAAGAUGGCCUGCAGAGACAUGCCGAGGAAGGCGAGCAUGGCGAGGCGGCCGUUCUUGAUCUCCUUGAGCUUGAGCUCCUUCAUCUCCUUCUCGCUCUUGGUGCCGAACCCGAGCGGGUUGAAGAUGGGCCCGCCGGGGUAGGCGGGGUCGCCGGAGCCACCGAGGUACUUCUCGAGGCCCAGGAAGUACUGCUUCCCCAUGGAGCCCGGGUUGUACCAGUCCUGGAGCCGCCGGUGCUCCGCGAAGCCGAUGAGCGCCAUCUCGAACACGAAGAGCGUGUAGGGGUCGGCCCAGUACUGGUAGGUGAGGGACUGCUUGGACGCGAACCACAGCUGCCUGUUGUCAUUUUGCUGAAAGAGAAGAACAAAAGAGAAAGUUAG
This 603-nucleotide ribosomal RNA is filed under the name Triticum aestivum (bread wheat). RNAcentral describes it as "partial small subunit ribosomal RNA". Lineage: Eukaryota; Viridiplantae; Streptophyta; Magnoliopsida; Poales; Poaceae. The record is from RNAcentral.